CACCCCCCGGUAAGCUGGAGCGUGUAGAUCCUACAUGCCCAGCUUAAAUACAAAAGAAAGAAGUGAAGAGCCAAUA
Long non-coding RNA from Ipomoea nil (Japanese morning glory), 76 nucleotides. RefSeq lists it as uncharacterized. The record is from RefSeq and is a predicted model, not a curated record. NCBI's taxonomy places the organism in Eukaryota, Viridiplantae, Streptophyta, Magnoliopsida, Solanales, Convolvulaceae. The transcript is spliced from 3 exons.